RNAcentral lists this ribosomal RNA (1366 nucleotides) under Bacillus pumilus. Its description in RNAcentral is "bacterial SSU rRNA". It matches the Rfam family "Bacterial small subunit ribosomal RNA", at positions 74 to 1426 of the family's 1533-position model. The record is from RNAcentral. Lineage: Bacteria; Bacillati; Bacillota; Bacilli; Caryophanales; Bacillaceae.
GGGAGCUUGCUCCCGGAUGUUAGCGGCGGAGGGGUGAGUAACACGGGGGUAACCUGCCUGUAAGACUGGGAUAACUCCGGGAAACCGGAGCUAAUACCGGAUAGUUCCUUGAACCGCAUGGUUCAAGGAUGAAAGACGGUUUCGGCUGUCACUUACAGAUGGACCCGCGGCGCAUUAGCUAGUUGGUGGGGUAAUGGCUCACCAAGGCGACGAUGCGUAGCCGACCUGAGAGGGUGAUCGGCCACACUGGGACUGAGACACGGCCCAGACUCCUACGGGAGGCAGCAGUAGGGAAUCUUCCGCAAUGGACGAAAGUCUGACGGAGCAACGCCGCGUGAGUGAUGAAGGUUUUCGGAUCGUAAAGCUCUGUUGUUAGGGAAGAACAAGUGCGAGAGUACCUGCUCGCACCUUGACGGUACCUAACCAAAAAGCCACGGCUAACUACGUGCCAGCAGCCGCGGUAAUACGUAGGUGGCGAGCGUUGUCCGGAAUUAUUGGGCGUAAAGGGCUCGCAGGCGGUUUCUUAAGUCUGAUGUGAAAGCCCCCGGCUCAACCGGGGAGGGUCAUUGGAAACUGGGAGACUUGAGUGCAGAAGAGGAGAGUGGAAUUCCACGUGUAGCGGUGAAAUGCGUAGAGAUGUGGAGGAACACCAGUGGCGAAGGCGACUCUCUGGUCUGUAACUGACGCUGAGGAGCGAAAGCGUGGGGAGCGAACAGGAUUAGAUACCCUGGUAGUCCACGCCGUAAACGAUGAGUGCUAAGUGUUAGGGGGUUUCCGCCCCUUAGUGCUGCAGCUAACGCAUUAAGCACUCCGCCUGGGGAGUACGGUCGCAAGACUGAAACUCAAAGGAAUUGACGGGGGCCCGCACAAGCGGUGGAGCAUGUGGUUUAAUUCGAAGCAACGCGAAGAACCUUACCAGGUCUUGACAUCCUCUGACAACCCUAGAGAUAGGGCUUUCCCUUCGGGGACAGAGUGACAGGUGGUGCAUGGUUGUCGUCAGCUCGUGUCGUGAGAUGUUGGGUUAAGUCCCGCAACGAGCGCAACCCUUGAUCUUAGUUGCCAGCAUUUAGUUGGGCACUCUAAGGUGACUGCCGGUGACAAACCGGAGGAAGGUGGGGAUGACGUCAAAUCAUCAUGCCCCUUAUGACCUGGGCUACACACGUGCUACAAUGGACAGAACAAAGGGCUGCGAGACCGCAAGGUUUAGCCAAUCCCAUAAAUCUGUUCUCAGUUCGGAUCGCAGUUUGCAACUCGACUGCGUGAAGCUGGAAUCGCUAGUAAUCGCGGAUCAUCAUGGCGCGGUGAAUACGUUCCCGGGCCUUGUACACCCCGCCCGUCCCACCCCGAGAGUUUGUAACACCCGAAG